GAUUGCUACAAGAUUAACCUGGAAGAUGAACUGAUCUGUUUAUCGAUCCAUUUUUAUCAAUAUAUCAGGUGAAAUACCUUGAUUUAGUAUACGUGAAACAGAAUUAAAUCCCUUCAGACAGGUGUGCUUUUACACAUUAAGAAAUGUUUGCAGCCGAUAUUUAGCUGUAGUUUUACUUUUUAUUUUACACCUGCAACAGAAUGUUUCUGGCGGAUGUGUGGGACAGUGUGUGUUUUAACACAGUAGUUGGAAUUAAACCAGACCGCUAUCAGUGCUUAAGGAAGAUGUCUCAAUUAGGCUUCCAGUUGGAAGGAACCAAUUGAAAGAGGAAAGCAGACAGAGCCAAAUGCUGCUGAUAGCUUGAGCCUAUCUGAGUGAAGGCAGGCAGCAAGACUGUAGACCGCAGAGGAGGGGGAUAAAGCAGAGAGGGCUGAGCUGGGAAAAAGCAAAGGAGACUCUUCCUACUGGUUUUAUUUGAACAAUUCAGAGGCAGGGUGGCCAUUGGCAAAAUCACUGCCGCUGGGGAUACUGAAUUCCUCCCACAACGCACUUGCUAGGCCAGAGCUGGAGAAAACCUGACACCUGCAAAUCCUUGAACUCUGUCUGCAGGAGAACAGCAGGCUGUGCUGGAUGCACGCUGUAAAGAGCAGCUCUUUCAUCCCUUUGUAUCAAAGAGAGGCAUGAGGCAAAGGGAGGAGCAUGUACUGUAUGUAACAUGCACACACAGCUGCUCAGCAGGAAGGGCAGGAGCGUCAGACCUCACAAGAAGCACAGCCUCACUAGUCUGUCAUCAGAAAUAUGCACAGAGAGCACAGGACAAACAGAGAAGGCCACAGCUAGCGGGCUAUGGGAGAGACCAGAGCUCAACCAGACCAAGAAGGAAGACCAACUUAAACCACAGAGUUCGGUGCUCAGUUUCCUCAUGCUCUUCAGAAGAGGGAGUCUCUGAGGGUGACAUCAUCACAGCCUCAGAAAGGUGGACCUCACACAGAGCAUGGCCAAAACCUCAGACAACUUCUGACUGUGCAGAGAGGCUGGCAAGCACUUUGGGGAAAUGA
Molecule: long non-coding RNA, 1058 nt
Organism: Lepisosteus oculatus (spotted gar)
Lineage: Eukaryota; Metazoa; Chordata; Actinopteri; Semionotiformes; Lepisosteidae
Source: Ensembl